RNAcentral lists this ribosomal RNA (292 nucleotides) under uncultured bacterium. RNAcentral describes it as "partial 16S ribosomal RNA". It matches the Rfam family "Bacterial small subunit ribosomal RNA", at positions 505 to 796 of the family's 1533-position model. The record is from RNAcentral.
GUGCCAGCAGCCGCGGUAAUACGGGGGGGGCAAGCGUUGUUCGGAAUUACUGGGCGUAAAGGGCUCGUAGGCGGCCAACUAAGUCGGAUGUGAAAUCCCCAGGCUUAACCUGGGAACUGCAUCCGAUACUGGAUGGCUUGAAUCCGGGAGAGGGAUGCAGAAUUCCAGGUGUAGCGGUGAAAUGCGUAGAUAUCUGGAGGAAUACCGGUGGCGAAGGCGGCAUCCUGGACCGGCAUUGACGCUGAUGAGCGAAAGCUAGGGGAGCAAACGGGAUUAGAUACCCCCGUAGUCC